RNAcentral lists this ribosomal RNA (718 nucleotides) under Campylobacter jejuni. Its description in RNAcentral is "partial 23S ribosomal RNA". It matches the Rfam family "Bacterial large subunit ribosomal RNA", at positions 315 to 1030 of the family's 2925-position model. Lineage: Bacteria; Pseudomonadati; Campylobacterota; Epsilonproteobacteria; Campylobacterales; Campylobacteraceae. The record is from RNAcentral.
UGCAAGAGCUGAGUUUAGCAGAACAUUCUGGAAAGUAUAGCCAUAGAGGGUGAUAGUCCCGUAUGCGAAAAACAAAGCUUAGCUAGCAGUAUCCUGAGUAGGGCGGGACACGAGAAAUCCUGUCUGAAUCCGGGUCGACCACGAUCCAACCCUAAAUACUAAUACCAGAUCGAUAGUGCACAAGUACCGUGAGGGAAAGGUGAAAAGAACUGAGGUGAUCAGAGUGAAAUAGAACCUGAAACCAUUUGCUUACAAUCAUUCAGAGCACUAUGUAGCAAUACAGUGUGAUGGACUGCCUUUUGCAUAAUGAGCCUGCGAGUUGUGGUGUCUGGCAAGGUUAAGCAAACGCGAAGCCGUAGCGAAAGCGAGUCUGAAUAGGGCGCUUAGUCAGAUGCUGCAGACCCGAAACGAAGUGAUCUAUCCAUGAGCAAGUUGAAGCUAGUGUAAGAACUAGUGGAGGACUGAACCCAUAGGCGUUGAAAAGCCCCGGGAUGACUUGUGGAUAGGGGUGAAAGGCCAAUCAAACUUCGUGAUAGCUGGUUCUCUCCGAAAUAUAUUUAGGUAUAGCGUUGUGUCGUAAUAUAAGGGGGUAGAGCACUGAAUGGGCUAGGGCAUACACCAAUGUACCAAACCCUAUCAAACUCCGAAUACCUUAUAUGUAAUCACAGCAGUCAGGCGGCGAGUGAUAAAAUCCGUCGUCAAGAGGGAAACAACCCAG